This 484-nucleotide ribosomal RNA is filed under the name uncultured bacterium. RNAcentral's name for it is "partial 16S ribosomal RNA". It matches the Rfam family "Bacterial small subunit ribosomal RNA", at positions 29 to 523 of the family's 1533-position model. The record is from RNAcentral.
AGUGAACGCUGGCGGCGUGCUUAACACAUGCAAGUCGAACGAGAACGGGUUAUAGCUUGCUAUAAUUGUCAGCUAAGUGGCGCACGGGUGAGUAAUGUAUAGGUAAUACGCCUCUUACUAAGGGAUAACAAAUGGAAACGUUUGCUAAUACCUUAUACUCCUUAUUAACAGAAGUUAAUAAGGGAAAGAUUUAUUGGUAAGAGAUUAGCCUGUAUUGUAUCAGUUAGUUGGUGGGGUAAUGGCUUACCAAGACUAUGACACAUAACUGGUUUGAGAGGAUGAUCGGUCACACUGGAACUGGGACACGGUCCAGACUCCUACGGGAGGCAGCAGUGGGGAAUAUUGCACAAUGGACGAAAGUCUGAUGCAGCAACGCCGCGUGGAGGAUGACACAUUUCGGUGCGUAAACUCCUUUUAUAUGAGAAGAUAAUGACGGUAUUAUAUGAAUAAGCACCGGCUAACUCCGUGCCAGCAGCCGCCGUAA